RNAcentral lists this non-coding RNA (86 nucleotides) under Pseudomonas migulae. The record is from RNAcentral. Lineage: Bacteria; Pseudomonadati; Pseudomonadota; Gammaproteobacteria; Pseudomonadales; Pseudomonadaceae. RNAcentral also lists the same sequence under 1 other name.
GUAGGAGCCGGCUUGCUGGCGAUCAACGAUGACGCGGUCUGUCUGCAUAACCGCGGUGUCUGGAUCGCCAGCAAGCCGGCUCCUAC